Molecule: long non-coding RNA, 1184 nt
Organism: Eriocheir sinensis (Chinese mitten crab)
Lineage: Eukaryota; Metazoa; Arthropoda; Malacostraca; Decapoda; Varunidae
Exons: 2
Source: RefSeq, a predicted model, not a curated record
CCACUUUUUGCAGCAGAGGAAGAAAGAGGCAAAUGGCAACAAUGUUUCCGGAAUACCAAGGAAGAUAUACGAGGGAGGAGGAGGAGGAGGAGGAGGAGGAAGGACAGGGUCGACAAGUAUAUAUAACCCUCGCUGAACACCUGAGAGACAUUCGUUAAUUGGUCUCUGCACCGAACACACUAAAGACAGCAAAGAUGCGCGUGCUCGCUAUAGUGAUGCUGGUGGUGGCGGUGGUGAGCGGCGCCCCAGCAGCUGAGAAGGGAGGAAAGGGCAGUCAAAGAUUCCUCGGCCUCGGUGGUCUAGGUGGACUAGGAGCUCUUGGAAAUCUCUUCGGGGGCAACAGCUUUGGUCACGGUGGGUUUGGCCAAGGCUUCGGGCACGGCUUCGGGCAUGGCUACGGUUAUGGUGGCUACCCCAGCUACGGUUAUGGUGGCUACCCUGGCUAUGGCUAUGGUGGUGGCUUCCCCGGUUAUGGAGGCUUCCCUGGCUAUGGUGGCUACAACCCUUACUAUGGUUAAAUCUACCUGCACACGCUGACUCACCGGUGAUGUCUACCUGCCUACCUGUGAAGUUACCUGUAGCCAUCGGUCACCUCACCUGUCUCCCUGAUCUACGACAAUGGAUAUCAUCUCAUCUGUCUUCUCUACUUGUGAUGUCUCCUGUCUUCUGCCUACCUGUGAAGUUACCUGUAGCCAUCGGUCACCUCACCUGUCUCCCUGAUCUAAGGCAAUGGAUAUCAUCUCAUCUGUCUUCUCUACCUGUGAUGUCACCUGUAGCCAUGGUAGUCACCUUACCUGUCUUCUCUCUACCUGCAAUGUCACCUCAACAAGCAUGCCUACCUGUGCUGUAAAUUCUAACCACACCUGUUGAUUGGCUCUCACCUGCGAUAUCACCUGCUUUACCUGUCCCUUCUGGUACCUGUGCUCACCUGGCUACUUGUCCAGCACCUGUCACCCUCAUCAUCACCACCCCCUUCACCACCACCACCACCACCACCACCCUCUACACACCUCCUUUCAUCAGUCCAACUCGUCUAACUUAUGAACAAAACUAUUUAUUACUCCAAGCACCCAUCCUGACCUUACUAAUUUAUGUUUGUUCAUGUGUUUGUGUGAACGCCGCAAAAACUGUGAAAAUUUAUCUGUGAAUAACAAAAAAAAACAUACAUAAAUGAUUGCUUAAGA